RNAcentral lists this ribosomal RNA (462 nucleotides) under Triticum aestivum (bread wheat). RNAcentral describes it as "partial small subunit ribosomal RNA". The record is from RNAcentral. Lineage: Eukaryota; Viridiplantae; Streptophyta; Magnoliopsida; Poales; Poaceae.
AUGUGCUUAUUUCUCCAUCCCUUUGCACUGGCAUGGGGUGGUAGCAUUGUUUACUGGAUGAUUACCAAUGGAGUCAUUUCGGCUAAGAAAAUCUGCGGGGCUGGAGGCGGCAUUCGGGGUUGGAGAUGGCAUGAGAAGCAGAGCUCCUUGUGCCACUCUCUCUACAAAGGUCGCCGCUGGAGCGGGACAAGAUCAUGGCUUGCCUUACAUGGUGACGUACCGACUAGGAAGAGUGCAAGCUGCCGCCCACAUGUACCAGAUGGUGCCGUCAAGGACAUUGUCGUACUGACUGCCGAUGAUCUACAGAAAGUUGUUGCUUCCCCUGGCCGUGGGAUCCUUGCGAUCGACGAGUUGAGUGCAACAUGUGGAAAGAGAUUGGCAUCCAUUGGUUUGGACAACAUGGAAGUUAACCGCCAGGCUUACAGUCCACUACAGAUGGCAAGACCUUUGUUGGCAUCUUGA